UGGUGGAGCGAUUUGUCUGGUUAAUUCCGAUAACGAACGAGACUCUGGCCUAUUAAAUAGACGGUGUAUCUUGAAGUAUACCGCGCUUCUUAGAGGGACAAGCGGCGUCUAGCCGCAUGAAAUAGAGCAAUAACA
RNAcentral lists this ribosomal RNA (135 nucleotides) under uncultured eukaryote. RNAcentral describes it as "partial 18S ribosomal RNA". It matches the Rfam family "Eukaryotic small subunit ribosomal RNA", at positions 1299 to 1458 of the family's 1831-position model. The record is from RNAcentral.